AAAGAGAUCACAUUAGUUUCUUGAAACUUAAUAGAGAAGAAAGGGGGGAGACACAUCUCAUUUAGGGUUCCUGUGGACUUACGUAGCAAGGGGGAAAACAGAGAAGGGUUGGAUUCAGUGCUCAACAAGACAAUCAAGGUGACCGUGAAGGUUAGUGCGUAAAGGGAUUUCUAUGCUUAAAAGCUUACUAAGGUUGUUGAUCGAGGUUAAGACAAGGGAGGUCAUUUUUUGGGAUUAAAGGCUCUAGGAUAUUAGUCUAGUGCCUUGUGUUAGAUGGGGACUCCUAAUCUUUUUGUGGAGAUCAACCUCCAUAGUGGACCUUGGAUUCCUUGUUAUAGAUUUUAGACCAUGUCUCUACGCUUAAAUGUAUAUAUUAUACUUCCUAUUAAGCAAUCUUUGGGAGAAGAAACUUUAAGAUCAAGCAGUUGUUUAGGUUAUAUUAUGGAUGAUAUUUUGUUUAGCAGGCUUCGUAUUAUAGCGA
This is a long non-coding RNA of Ipomoea triloba (trilobed morning glory), 481 nucleotides long. RefSeq lists it as uncharacterized. Lineage: Eukaryota; Viridiplantae; Streptophyta; Magnoliopsida; Solanales; Convolvulaceae. The transcript has 3 exons. The record is from RefSeq and is a predicted model, not a curated record.